RNAcentral lists this non-coding RNA (960 nucleotides) under Parablarinella griselda (Indochinese short-tailed shrew). RNAcentral's name for it is "12S ribosomal RNA". It matches the Rfam family "Bacterial small subunit ribosomal RNA". Lineage: Eukaryota; Metazoa; Chordata; Mammalia; Eulipotyphla; Soricidae. The record is from RNAcentral.
UAAAGGUUUGGUCCCAGCCUUCCUAUUAGUUAUUAGCAAACUUACACAUGCAAGUAUCCGCACUCCUGUGAGAAUACCCUCUAAAUCAUUUAUGAUUAAAAGGAGUAGGUAUCAAGCACACUUAUAUUAAGUAGCUAAUGACACCUUGCUUAGCCACACCCCCACGGGAAACAGCAGUGAUAAAAAUUAAGCCAUAAACGAAAGUUUGACUAAGUUAUGCUAACUACAGGGUUGGUAAAUUUCGUGCCAGCCACCGCGGUCAUACGAUUAACCCAAAUUAAUAGGCAACGGCGUAAAGCGUGUUAAAGAAACCUACUCAAAAUAAAGAUAAAACUUAACUAGGCUGUAGAAAGCAACAGUUAAUACUAAAAUAAACUACGAAAGUGUCUUUAUUAUAUCUGAUCACACGAUAGCUAAGAUCCAAACUGGGAUUAGAUACCCCAUUAUGCUUAGCCCUAAACCUAGGUAAUUAACUCAACAAAAAUACUCGCCAGAGGACUACUAGCAACAGCUUAAAACUCAAAGGACUUGGCGGUGCUUUAUAUCCAUCUAGAGGAGCCUGUUCUAUAAUCGAUAAACCCCGAUAAACCUCACCACCCCUUGCUAAUACAGCCUAUAUACCGCCAUCUUCAGCAAACCCUAAAAAGGAAUAAUAGUAAGCUCAAAUAUAAUAAAUAAAAACGUUAGGUCAAGGUGUAGCUUAUGAGGUGGGAAGAAAUGGGCUACAUUUUCUGUACACAGAACACACGAAAAUUUCUAUGAAAUUAGAAGUCAAAGGAGGAUUUAGUAGUAAGUUAAGAAUAGAGUGCUUAACUGAAUUAGGCCAUGAAGCACGCACACACCGCCCGUCACCCUCCUCAAGUACUUAGACCAAUUUAUUUAUAAUCUUUAGGUCAACUAGAUAUUAGAGGAGAUAAGUCGUAACAAGGUAAGCAUACUGGAAAGUGUGCUUGGAUGAAU